Hydra vulgaris (swiftwater hydra) is the source of this 1548-nucleotide non-coding RNA. The record is from RefSeq and is a predicted model, not a curated record. Lineage: Eukaryota; Metazoa; Cnidaria; Hydrozoa; Anthoathecata; Hydridae.
UAAAUAAAUAAAGUUUCGUAUAGGAUGUGUUGUUACACUACAAGUAACAUAGCGAUCAUUAUAUAUAAGAAUGAUAUUGAUAAAAAAAGCUGAUAGAAAUGUUGCUUUGAUAGAAAAGGAAAUAUAAAAUUAUGAAUGCUCCAAACUUUCUGCAACUGUGAUAAUAAAACUCCAUUCCAUAGAGUUUGUUUGUGAUGAUUAAUAUGCCACCACAUAAAUGUAGCAAAUAUUAAUGAAGCUAUGUCAAUAAACGUAAUGUUGACACAAAAAUGUUAAGUCUCGAGUUAAAUUGUUUAUCUAAAUCUGAAUCUGCUUUGAAUUAAAUUAAAUAUCAUGAAACAUGAAAUUUUUAAUGAAGUUUUGGUCCAUAAUAAUCCAAGUACCACAUAUUUUAAUAAAUAUAUUUUUAAAACGGAUUGAAAUUGAAGCAGAAAUUUAUAACAAAUUAUGUUGACGAUUGGAUAUGAAUCUCACACGAUGAUUCAAUACUUAUUAAAGCUUGGAAUGUUAUUAUGCGCAUGCGUUAACAGCAAAUUGAUAAAUAUCAUUUUUUUGAUAAACCGUGUUAAGCUUUUAUUAUAUCGUUGUUAAUCAGAUACUUUGGUAAUUAUACAGACUGAAAAGAAGCAAAACAAGUUAUAUUUUAACUUGAUAACGUGUAGUUUUUAAUAGAAUUCAAAUUAUUAAGCUCACAUUACUGUGAUUAAUAAAGCUUUGUUAUUAGCCAAUUUAACACAUUCAGUUCAGUCAUAUUUUAGGAGAACUAAAAUUUUUGUAACAUUUUGGGUGUAUUUUUCAAAAAUUUCUCCGUAAGUUAUGGCAUGUAAUCAUCAAGAAAAAUUAUCAAGAUUAUGUAGAAUUUGUGGAAAUAUAUUAGGAAAAGAUAGUUUAAAAACUGAUUCUAAAAUUGAUCGAAUAUAUAAAGUGUUUAGUAUAAAUAUAUCAGAAGAUUCUCAAUAUAUUCAUCCAAAGAAAAUGUGCAUGAGAUGUUAUACUAAUCUUAGAAACAUCGAAAAUAGAGGUAAUAAAGUUUUUAAAACUCCAAAAAUUUGGUUAAAAUGUCCUUUAAUUGAAUGCAAAUGUAUUUUUGGCAUUCUUGGUCGAAAACCAAUAUCCAAUAGAGGACGACCAGGAAAGGUUAAAAAAUGGACACAGUUUUAUUUAAAAUCAUUUCUUGAUUCAUUACCUAUGCCUAAAGAUAGAACAAAUUUUCUAAAACUAAACCAUAUUCUAAAUCCACAUAUAAAUUUAUGCAUUUGUAAAAUUUGUGGAGAAGUUAUGAAUCAGCCUGCGAUGCUGAAAAAUUGUCAACAUUCAUUUUGUAGUUCAUGCAUUUUGUCAAAUGUUAAGGAUAAAUUUGAAUGUGAUUCAAACUGUCCGUUAUGUAAAACCAACAUCACAAUUGAUAGCCUUACCUAUUCCAUCCAUAUAUCUGAAAUCUUAGAUUAUUUAACUGUUUGCAAGAUUUGUAACAAAAAUGUACUUUUAAAAGAUAUUAAUUGUGAAAAUCAUGACUGCAAAAAAUUAUUAAACAACACUUUAGAUGAA